AGGACGAACGCUGGCGGCGUGCUUAACACAUGCAAGUCGAGCGGUAAGGCUCCUUCGGGAGUACACGAGCGGCGAACGGGUGAGUAACACGUGAGCAAUCUGCCCUUCACUUUGGGAUAACUUCCGGAAACGGAAGCUAAUACCGAAUACGACCAUUACAGACAUCUGUUGAUGGUGGAAAGUUCCGGCGGUGAAGGAUGAGCUCGCGGCCUAUCAGCUUGUUGGUGAGGUAACGGCCCACCAAGGCGACGACGGGUAGCCGGCCUGAGAGGGUGACCGGCCACACUGGGACUGAGACACGGCCCAGACUCCUACGGGAGGCAGCAGUGGGGAAUAUUGGACAAUGGGCGAAAGCCUGAUCCAGCAACGCCGCGUGAGGGAUGACGGCCUUCGGGUUGUAACCUCUUUCAGCAGGGACGAAGCGAGAGUGACGGUACCGUGACAAAGAAGCACCGGCCAACUACGUGCCAGCAGCCGCGGUAA
This 483-nucleotide ribosomal RNA is filed under the name uncultured bacterium. Its description in RNAcentral is "SSU rRNA". It matches the Rfam family "Bacterial small subunit ribosomal RNA", at positions 26 to 523 of the family's 1533-position model. The record is from RNAcentral.